This 1755-nucleotide ribosomal RNA is filed under the name Legionella pneumophila. RNAcentral's name for it is "partial 23S ribosomal RNA". It matches the Rfam family "Bacterial large subunit ribosomal RNA", at positions 1 to 1779 of the family's 2925-position model. The record is from RNAcentral. Lineage: Bacteria; Pseudomonadati; Pseudomonadota; Gammaproteobacteria; Legionellales; Legionellaceae.
UUAUAUGGUCAAGAAGAGAAGCGCAAACGGUGGAUGCCUUGGCAGUAAGAGGCGAAGAAGGACGUGGAAUCCUGCGAAAAGCUAUGGGGAGCUGGAAACGAGCGUUGAGCCAUAGAUGUCCGAAUGGGGGAACCCGGCUGCAGCGAUGCGGUCAUUUGCAUUUGAAUACAUAGGAUGCAAAGGCGAACUCGGGGAACUGAAACAUCUAAGUACCCGAAGGAAAAGAAAUCAAGAGAGAUUCUCCAAGUAGCGGCGAGCGAACGGGGAGGAGCCUGGCGUGAUUUAUUAUUGAACUGAGUAGAACAAUUUGGGAAAGUUGGCGAUAGAGGGUGAAAGCCCCGUAUACGAAGGUUUGAUGAGGAACUAGGCACGCGAACAAGUAGGCCGGGACACGUGAAAUCCUGGUUGAAGAUGGGUGGACCAUCAUCCAAGGCUAAAUACUACUUACUGACCGAUAGUGAACCAGUACCGUGAGGGAAAGGUGAAAAGAACCCCGGAGAGGGGAGUGAAAUAGAAUCUGAAACCGUUUGCGUACAAGCAGUGGGAGCAUGGUUUAGGCUGUGUGACUGCGUACCUUUUGUAUAAUGGGUCAGCGAGUUACUUUCAGUGGCGAGGUUAACUGAAUAAGGGAGCCGUAGAGAAAUCGAGUCUGAAUAGGGCGAUAGUCGCUGGGAGUAGACCCGAAACCGGGCGAUCUAGCCAUGUGCAGGAUGAAGGUUGGGUAACACCAACUGGAGGUCCGAACCGGGUAAUGUUGAAAAAUUAUCGGAUGACGUGUGGCUAGGAGUGAAAGGCUAAUCAAGCCCGGAGAUAGCUGGUUCUCCCCGAAAGCUAUUUAGGUAGCGCCUCGUGAAUGAUUGCUGGGGGUAGAGCACUGUUUCGGCUAGGGGGCUGUCAUGGCUUACCAAACCGAUGCAAACUCCGAAUACCGGCUAAUUGAAUCACGGGAGACACACGGCGGGUGCUAACGUCCGUCGUGGAGAGGGAAACAACCCAGACCGCCAGCUAAGGUCCCCAAGUACUAGUUAAGUGGGAAACGAUGUGGGAAGGCAUAGACAGCCAGGAGGUUGGCUUAGAAGCAGCCACCCUUUAAAGAAAGCGUAAUAGCUCACUGGUCGAGUCGGCCUGCGCGGAAGAUGUAACGGGGCUAAAACUAGUCACCGAAGCUGCGGAUGUGCGCGAAGGCGCACGUGGUAGGGGAGCGUUCUGUAGGCUGAUGAAGGUGCAUUGAGAAGUGUGCUGGAGGUAUCAGAAGUGCGAAUGCUGACAUGAGUAACGAUAAUGUGGGUGAAAAGCCCACACGCCGGAAGUCCCAGGUUUCCUGCACGACGUUAAUCGGAGCAGGGUGAGUCGGCCCCUAAGGCGAGGCUGAAGAGCGUAGUCGAUGGGAACCAGGUUAAUAUUCCUGGACUUUUUAUAAGUGGUGAAGUGGGGACGAAGAAGGCUAGGUGAGCCAGGCGUUGGUUGUCCUGGUACUUGCAUGUAGGGGGGAAGACUUGGCAAAUCCGGUUUUCCAUAACUCUGAGGUGCGAAGUGGUUCUGACCCUUUGGUACAGAGAAGUCAUUGAUGCCCGGCUUCCAGGAAAAGCUGCUAGCCAUAACUUAUAGAGAACCGUACCGCAAACCGACACAGGUGGACAGGUAGAGAAUACUAAGGCGCUUGAGAGAACUCGGGUGAAGGAACUAGGCAAAAUGGUACCGUAACUUCGGGAGAAGGUACGCCCUUUCUGGUGAUGGGAUUUACUUUCAGAGCUG